Molecule: ribosomal RNA, 503 nt
Filed under: uncultured bacterium
Lineage: Bacteria
Description: bacterial SSU rRNA
Rfam family: Bacterial small subunit ribosomal RNA
Source: RNAcentral
GAUGAACGCUAGCUACAGGCUUAACACAUGCAAGUCGAGGGGAAACGACAUCGAAAGCUUGCUUUUGGUGGGCGUCGACCGGCGCACGGGUGAGUAACGCGUAUCCAACCUUCCCGUUGCUAGGGGAUAACCUUGCGAAAGUAAGACUAAUAUCCUAUGAGGUUCUUCGCAGGCAUCUAAAGAGAACGAAAGAUUUAUCGGCAACGGAUGGGGAUGCGUCUGAUUAGGUUGUUGGCGGGGUAACGGCCCACCAAGCCUACGAUCAGUAGGGGUUCUGAGAGGAAGGUCCCCCACAUUGGAACUGAGACACGGUCCAAACUCCUACGGGAGGCAGCAGUGAGGAAUAUUGGUCAAUGGACGGAAGUCUGAACCAGCCAAGUAGCGUGCAGGAUGACAGCCCUAUGGGUUGUAAACUGCUUUUAUGUGGGAAUAAAGUGAGGGACGUGUCCCUUUUUGUAGGUACCACAUGAAUAAGGACCGGCUAAUUCCGUGCCAGCAGCCGC